AGGUUAAGCAAAGAAGGGCACAGGGCGGAUGCCUUGGCACUGAGAGCCGAUGAAAGACGCGAUAAGCUGCGAAAAGCUGCGGA
RNAcentral lists this ribosomal RNA (83 nucleotides) under Lachnospiraceae bacterium MD335. Its description in RNAcentral is "partial 23S ribosomal RNA". It matches the Rfam family "Bacterial large subunit ribosomal RNA", at positions 1 to 82 of the family's 2925-position model. The record is from RNAcentral. Lineage: Bacteria; Bacillati; Bacillota; Clostridia; Lachnospirales; Lachnospiraceae.